GGUGCUCCAGACCUUCUGGAUUAUUCCUAUGAUCCUCGAGUGAUCGUCGGUCUGGGAGAGCGUUCCGAUAUCCUCUGUGGGUACCAGCUCCCCGUGAUUGACCCUUAGGAUGUCCCUCAGUACCCGGUAUCGGUCCUGAAACAGCUUCCUGAAAUCGUCUAUCUUUCCGGCCGUACCCAUGUUCUCUAUCGGAUCGAACAGUACCUCAAUCCCGCACUCAUACUCGCUUGCAAGAGGGGGUAGACGGCCUCCAGGUCCGGACCCGAGAUGUUUCGCGGUUUCCUCUUUCUUUUUGGCUUUUUUUCCUCUUAGCGGGAUCUCCCUGAUCGGGAUAAUGGU
RNAcentral lists this ribosomal RNA (339 nucleotides) under uncultured eukaryote. RNAcentral's name for it is "partial small subunit ribosomal RNA". The record is from RNAcentral.